Molecule: ribosomal RNA, 465 nt
Filed under: Vreelandella stevensii
Lineage: Bacteria; Pseudomonadati; Pseudomonadota; Gammaproteobacteria; Oceanospirillales; Halomonadaceae
Description: partial 16S ribosomal RNA
Rfam family: Bacterial small subunit ribosomal RNA
Source: RNAcentral
CCUACGGGCGGCAGCAGUGGGGAAUAUUGGACAAUGGGGGGAACCCUGAUCCAGCCAUGCCGCGUGUGUGAAGAAGGCCCUCGGGUUGUAAAGCACUUUCAGUGAGGAAGAACGCCUGGUGGUUAAUACCCAUCAGGAAAGACAUCACUCACAGAAGAAGCACCGGCUAACUCCGUGCCAGCAGCCGCGGUAAUACGGAGGGUGCGAGCGUUAAUCGGAAUUACUGGGCGUAAAGCGCGCGUAGGUGGCUUGAUAAGCCGGUUGUGAAAGCCCCGGGCUCAACCUGGGAACGGCAUCCGGAACUGUCAAGCUAGAGUGCAGGAUAGGAAGGUAGAAUUCCCGGUGUAGCGGUGAAAUGCGUAGAGAUCGGGAGGAAUACCAGUGGCGAAGGCGGCCUUCUGGACUGACACUGACACUGAGGUGCGAAAGCGUGGGUAGCAAACAGGAUUAGAUACCCUAGUAGUC